RNAcentral lists this long non-coding RNA (334 nucleotides) under Phaseolus vulgaris (common bean). RNAcentral's name for it is "long non-coding RNA (PVUL_LNC002136)". Lineage: Eukaryota; Viridiplantae; Streptophyta; Magnoliopsida; Fabales; Fabaceae. The record is from RNAcentral.
AGACAUUCGUUGCCUGGCCCAGAGAGCUCAUUCGAUCUAUGCCCGAACCUCAUGUAAUAAUUUCGUUUCAUUAUAUUAUUUUUUAUUUAUAUUUAUAUAUUACAUAUAAUUUAAUACAAAUGUUGUUUAUCUUGUAGGAACCUUUUCAGCCACCAACUCCGAAAAAGAAUCGUGAGGUUCCAGUUGACGAUCCUAUGGCUUCCCUACGUCUCAUUGCUAGUCAGAUUGGCAAUGAUCCUUUUCCAGUUCCGUGGGAUAAUACAUUUUUUCAAAUCAACACUGAACUGCCACUGAUGAUUUACAACACAGAUUUAUCAGAAUUUAUAUCUGGGAA